Molecule: ribosomal RNA, 588 nt
Filed under: Hanseniaspora opuntiae
Lineage: Eukaryota; Fungi; Ascomycota; Saccharomycetes; Saccharomycodales; Saccharomycodaceae
Description: partial 26S ribosomal RNA
Rfam family: Eukaryotic large subunit ribosomal RNA
Source: RNAcentral
GAGGAAAAGAAACCAACUGGGAUUACCUUAGUAACGGCGAGUGAAGCGGUAAAAGCUCAAAUUUGAAAUCUGGUACUUUCAGUGCCCGAGUUGUAAUUUGUAGAAUUUGUCUUUGAUUAGGUCCUUGUCUAUGUUCCUUGGAACAGGACGUCAUAGAGGGUGAGAAUCCCGUUUGGCGAGGAUACCUUUUCUCUGUAAGACUUUUUCGAAGAGUCGAGUUGUUUGGGAAUGCAGCUCAAAGUGGGUGGUAAAUUCCAUCUAAAGCUAAAUAUUGGCGAGAGACCGAUAGCGAACAAGUACAGUGAUGGAAAGAUGAAAAGAACUUUGAAAAGAGAGUGAAAAAGUACGUGAAAUUGUUGAAAGGGAAGGGCAUUUGAUCAGACAUGGUGUUUUUUGCAUGCACUUGCCUCUCGUGGGCUUGGGCCUCUCAAAAAUUUCACUGGGCCAACAUCAAUUCUGGCAGUAGGAUAAAUCAUUAAGAAUGUAGCUACCUCGGUAGUGUUAUAGCUUAUUGGAAUACUGCUAGCUGGGAUUGAGGACUGCGCUUCGGCAAGGAUGUUGGCAUAAUGGUUAAAUGCCGCCCGUCUU